Molecule: non-coding RNA, 90 nt
Organism: Collybia nuda
Lineage: Eukaryota; Fungi; Basidiomycota; Agaricomycetes; Agaricales; Clitocybaceae
Source: the annotation of a GenBank genome assembly
CCGACCUUAGCUCAGUUGGAAGAGCGCAAGACUGUAAUGGAUAUAGGACAUGUCAUCUUGAUGUCGCCUGUUCGAGCCAGGCAGGUCGGA